RNAcentral lists this long non-coding RNA (292 nucleotides) under Lathyrus oleraceus (garden pea). Its description in RNAcentral is "Pisum sativum (pea) long non-coding RNA (PSAT_LNC028002)". The record is from RNAcentral. Lineage: Eukaryota; Viridiplantae; Streptophyta; Magnoliopsida; Fabales; Fabaceae.
UAGGUCCAAAAAUCAGAAUCAGCACAGAUGGAUAAAGUACUGUUCUUGCUAUUAUCACCCCAUUAGAAAAUUUGUGGAAGACAAAUUCAGAAGUCUAAAGCAUGGACUGGAACUAGCAGACAAGGGAGCAAGGAAUUUGGGUAAAAUUAAAAUUGAAUAUGAGGGAGGGAAAUUAGGGAUUUGUACUCUUGAGAAAUUAUGGCAGUUAAAGUGGAAAAAUAAAGAAAAUAAAAAUAGUGUCUGCCCUUUUAAAAGAAAGAGCCACAUUAAUGCUAAAUCAUUCCCUGGCAUU